This is a non-coding RNA of Sus scrofa (pig), 364 nucleotides long. NCBI's taxonomy places the organism in Eukaryota, Metazoa, Chordata, Mammalia, Artiodactyla, Suidae. The record is from RefSeq and is a predicted model, not a curated record.
CGAAGAUGUUCCGGAAGAGGCGCCAGUCCACGGCCUUCCGCGAGCGGAUCCAGCCCACGGCCACCACGGAGCCCACCUGCAGAAGCAUGAGCGGCUCAGAGUCAACAGAGGCCCACACGUUGAAAGCAACAGCGUCAUCGAAUGCUGGAGCUGGAGGCCGCCGCGAUCUGUAAUCCAUCCAUGCUGCUCAUCUCACAGAGGAUAAAACAUCACUGGAGAGUUUAGGGGCACGAGGAGCCCGCAAAUCAUGGCAGCAGAGGGCAAGAACUGGGGCCUCUUGAUUUUUUUUCUCCACUAUCUCCGCCUACCCUGUAGUCCUUGUCUUUCAGCUGAUUUAAAAAAAUAUAAUCAAACAGAACAUUGA